GUGGGGAAUAUUGGACAAUGGGCGAAAGCCUGAUCCAGCCAUGCCGCGUGUGUGAAGAAGGUCUUCGGAUUGUAAAGCACUUUAAGUUGGGAGGAAGGGCAGUAAGUUAAUACCUUGUUGUUUUGACGUUACCGACAGAAUAAGCACCGGCUAACUUCGUGCCAGCAGCCGCGGUAAUACGAAGGGUGCAAGCGUUAAUCGGAAUUACUGGGCGUAAAGCGCGCGUAGGUGGUUUUGUAAGUUGGAGGUGAAAUCCCCGGGCUCAACCUGGGAACUGCCUCCAAAACUGCAUGACUAGAGUACGGUAGAGGGUAGUGGAAUUUCCUGUGUAGCGGUGAAAUGCGUAGAUAUAGGAAGGAACACCAGUGGCGAAGGCGACUACCUGGACUGAUACUGACACUGAGGUGCGAAAGCGUGGGGAGCAAACAGGAUUAGAUACCCUAGUAGUCC
This 450-nucleotide ribosomal RNA is filed under the name uncultured bacterium. Its description in RNAcentral is "partial 16S ribosomal RNA". It matches the Rfam family "Bacterial small subunit ribosomal RNA", at positions 354 to 796 of the family's 1533-position model. The record is from RNAcentral.